GGAGGAUCACUUGAGCCCAGGAUGUUGAGGCCGCAGUGAGCCGUGAUCACACCACUGCACUCCAGCCUGAGUGACAGAGCAAGACCCUGUCUCA
RNAcentral lists this microRNA precursor (94 nucleotides) under Saimiri boliviensis boliviensis (Bolivian squirrel monkey). Its description in RNAcentral is "miRNA (ENSSBOG00000007942.1)". The record is from RNAcentral. Lineage: Eukaryota; Metazoa; Chordata; Mammalia; Primates; Cebidae.